ACUCAUAAGCUAGCCUCCCCCCACAAGCUCAACAACCCCAUAUCACUACCCCCACAAACCCCAUUCAACUAAUAAACAAAGCAUUUUCCCCUUCUAGUAUAGGCGAUAGAAAAAAGUCCAAGCGCAAUAGACAAAGUACCGCAAGGGAAAGCUGAAAGAGAAAUGAAACAACCCAGUUAAGAAGAGAAAAGCAAAGAUGUAACCUUGUACUUU
Molecule: ribosomal RNA, 213 nt
Filed under: Cheilinus chlorourus (floral wrasse)
Lineage: Eukaryota; Metazoa; Chordata; Actinopteri; Labriformes; Labridae
Description: partial 16S ribosomal RNA
Source: RNAcentral